GUUAUUUUCGGUUCUCUCUUCGUUUUACAUUCUUUUUCGGCUUUAAUUGCAAGGAUGCACUUGUUUGACCCAGUCAAAAUAAUAGUAGUGCCAGCUAAAUUGACAAGAAUAAUUAAAUUUAAUCGCUUUUUAGCCAGACUCUUCUUUGAAAUUAGGUACAGAAUAUAUGGGGCGUGGCAAACACUGUAAUGCCGAGAGGCGGUAACUCAUUAAAAAACUGAUUUUUUCUGGAAAGACUUAUGUCAGGGUGCAAAAUAUUAUCGGAUGCUCUUCUACAAUGAUUAGAAAUGCAAUUAAAUAUGAACCAACAAAUGAAACUCGUGGUCGGUUCAAGUUAUUGACCAAAAGGUCAGUAGAUCGCUUAACAAGACAGGCAAGAAGCAAUCCUUUUGAGUCCACUGCAGCCCUAAAAAAAAUCUUGUAAAAUUAAUUUUAGUUUGGAAACAAUAAGAUGUCUCGGAGAUGAAAACCUCAUUUCAAGAAGUCCACGAAAAGUGCCGUUACUAACAAAAAAACAUGCAGCAAGUUAUGCAACAUUCCGUUUGAAGUUUGCAAGAAAGCACUUGAAUUGGCCUUUGGAGAAGUGGAGGAAUAUUUUGUGGUCGGAUGAGUCCAAGAUAGUUUUGUUUGGAGGCCAUGGCUCUCGGGAGUUUGUUAGACGACCACCCUUAUCUGACUUUUUCCCGAAAUAUACAUUAAAAACGGUUAA
Molecule: long non-coding RNA, 709 nt
Organism: Drosophila teissieri
Lineage: Eukaryota; Metazoa; Arthropoda; Insecta; Diptera; Drosophilidae
Exons: 2
Source: RefSeq, a predicted model, not a curated record